Molecule: ribosomal RNA, 497 nt
Filed under: uncultured bacterium
Lineage: Bacteria
Description: partial 16S ribosomal RNA
Rfam family: Bacterial small subunit ribosomal RNA
Source: RNAcentral
GAUGAACGCUGGCGGCGUGCCUAAUACAUGCAAGUCGAGCGAACAGACGAGGAGCUUGCUCCUCUGACGUUAGCGGCGGACGGGUGAGUAACACGUGGAUAACCUACCUAUAAGACUGGGAUAACUUCGGGAAACCGGAGCUAAUACCGGAUAAUAUAUUGAACCGCAUGGUUCAAUAGUGAAAGACGGUUUUGCUGUCACUUAUAGAUGGAUCCGCGCCGCAUUAGCUAGUUGGUAAGGUAACGGCUUACCAAGGCAACGAUGCGUAGCCGACCUGAGAGGGUGAUCGGCAACACUGGAACUGAGACACGGUCAAGACUCCUACGGGAGGCAGCAGUAGGGAAUCUUCCGCAAUGGGCGAAAGCCUGACGGAGCAACGCCGCGUGAGUGAUGAAGGUCUUCGGAUCGUAAAACUCUGUUAUUAGGGAAGAACAAAUGUGUAAGUAACUAUGCACGUCUUGACGGUACCUAAUCAGAAAGCCACGGCUAACUACGUG